RNAcentral lists this long non-coding RNA (519 nucleotides) under Nicotiana tabacum (common tobacco). Its description in RNAcentral is "long non-coding RNA (NTAB_LNC013650)". Lineage: Eukaryota; Viridiplantae; Streptophyta; Magnoliopsida; Solanales; Solanaceae. The record is from RNAcentral.
GUGGAGGAGAUGGUGAUGGUGGUGGAGGAGACUUGUAGUAAUAGGGCGGGGGUGGUGACGGAGCCGGUGGAGGGGGAGACUUAUAGUAAUAGGGCGGGGGUGGUGAUGGAGAUGGCGGAGGAGGAGACUUGUAAUAAUAGGAUGGGGGUGGUGAUGGGGAUGGUGGUGGUGGUGACUUAUAGUAAUAUGGUGGUGGAGGUGAUGGUGACGGGGGUGGUGGCGACUUGUAGUAAUAUGGAGGAGGAGGAGAAGGCGAUGGUGGUGGAGGAGAUUUGUAAUAGUAAGGAGGUGGAGGCGAUGGUGACGGGGGUGGCGGUGAUUUAUAAUAGUAUAUAGGUGCAGGUUUUGGUGAUGGUGGAGGUGGAGACUUGUAAUAAUAGGGCGGAGGUGGUGAUGGGGAUGGUGGGGGUGGUGACUUAUAGUAGUAUGGUGGUGGAGGCGAUGGUGACGGGGGUGGUGGCGACUUGUAAUAAUAUGGAGGGGGAGGAGAAGGUGAUGGUGGUGGAGGAGAUUUAUAAU